This 434-nucleotide ribosomal RNA is filed under the name uncultured Lachnospiraceae bacterium. RNAcentral describes it as "bacterial SSU rRNA". It matches the Rfam family "Bacterial small subunit ribosomal RNA", at positions 341 to 792 of the family's 1533-position model. Lineage: Bacteria; Bacillati; Bacillota; Clostridia; Lachnospirales; Lachnospiraceae. The record is from RNAcentral.
ACGGGAGGCAGCAGUGGGGAAUAUUGGACAAUGGGGGAAACCCUGAUCCAGCGACGCCGCGUGAGUGAAGAAGUAUUUCGGUAUGUAAAGCUCUAUCAGCAGGGAAGAUAAUGACGGUACCUGACUAAGAAGCCCCGGCUAACUACGUGCCAGCAGCCGCGGUAAUACGUAGGGGGCAAGCGUUAUCCGGAUUUACUGGGUGUAAAGGGAGCGUAGACGGAAGGCCAAGUCUGAUGUGAAAACCCAGGGCUCAACCCUGGGACUGCAUUGGAAACUGGUCAUCUAGAGUGCAGGAGGGGUAAGCGGAAUUCCUAGUGUAGCGGUGAAAUGCGUAGAUAUUAGGAGGAACACCGGUGGCGAAGGCGGCUUACUAGACUGUAACUGACGUUGAGGCUCGAAAGCGUGGGGAGCAAACAGGAUUAGAUACCCUGGUA